UCAUCCUUUUAUUCCUAUUUUCUUUCCUUGACUGAUAAACUAUAGGACCUGUAUGUGAAAAACUGUGAUCCUGGACACAGCUUGCUUCAAUUCAGUUUCCAUUCAUCUUACCAUUGGGUAAAAUUUACAUACUGAAAUCCAUAGGUCUUAAAUAUAAAAUUCAAUGUGUUUUUAUUAAUGUAUAUACCCAUGUAACCACCACCCCAAUCAAGAUACAGAAUAUUUCCUUCAUCCUACAAAGUUUCCUUCCAUUCAAUUUCCACCCCCUUUAGGCAACACUGCUCUGAUUUCUAUUUCCGUUGAUUAGCUUUCCCUGUUCUUGAACUUCCAGUCAAUUUCCACCUCCUAUAGGCCAUCUGUUUUGAGUUUUAUCACCACAGACUAGUUUAGCCGGCUCUUGAAAUUUAUACAAAUGGAAUCAUACGAUAUACAGCCUUCUGAGCCUCGAUGCUUUUGUUCAGUAUAACGUUUUGGAGAUUCAUCCAUGUUGUUGGAUGUAACAGUAGUUUAUUCUUUUUCUUGCUCAGUAAUAUUCCAUCAUAUGAAUACACUACAAUUUAUUUAUUCAUUCUGCUGCUGAAGGGCAUUUGGGUUUUUCCAGUUUGGGGGUUGUUGUGUGUAAAGCUGCUAUGAACAUUCUUGAACGGUCUCUCUGUAGGGACGUGUUUCUUUUGCUGUUGCGUAAAUCCCUAAGAGUAGACUUACUGGGUCACAGAGUAGAUGUAUGCUUAACUUUAUAAGAAACUGCAAAGUUUUCCAAUGUGGUUGUGCCAUUUUCCACUCUUACCACAAUGGACGAGAGCUACAGCUGUUUCACAACCCUGUCAACAUUUGGCGUUGUCAGUCUUUCUCAGCAUUCAGAAUUGCUUAUUCUGGUAGAAACUUGAAGCUUGAAAUCACAUGUUUCACUUAUUUAAGCAUUUGUAUUCCUUAUUUUCAGCUUGAUAUAAGAAAUGCAAUUUGGACUUAACCUAUCGAUUGCAACAUCACCGAAUUCCACCAGCCAGAAUAGAAAGACUGUCCAGACUCUUCUGAUUCUUGGUCUUGUCUUCUCAUUACAGGUUGUGUUGUUAUUCUCUCCACCUGUGGAAUUUUCCAUAUUGAACAGAGAGCCUCUAACAUGAAGAUCCAUGUCUUCCUCUGGCGUCUGCACUGAUUGUCAUUUACUCCCAUGACAAUCCCCUGCUCGCAAACCUUGACUCCCCAAACUCUUCUGCGUGAUGUUUCCGACCUUCCACUCACAUCACCUGGCCUUUCCAGUGUCCUCUCCCACUGGUCCCCUCACUAACCCUACAGUCUAGCCACAUGGGACCUGACUGUCCCCCCAUACACUCAGGACUGUCCCUCCCUGUGCCUUGUCUUAUACUGUUCCUUCUACCUGAUGGGCCCUUCCACCUCUCUCUGUCUAUCAAAAUCAAAUACCUUCUUCACUGUCCAACUCAAAUGUCACUGCCUUCCUAGAGGUCUGAUCUCCCAAUGGGAAGGAAUCUGUCCCUCCUCCGUGUUCCUCCCAUGUUGUACCGACUUUCUCUUACAGGAUGCGUCCCUUCCUGCCUCGUGUCAGAGCGAUUUGUCUAGGGUCUUUUCUCUCCUAAAUAAUGCUGUGCUAUAUUUCGUUCAUCUCUGCCUCCCUCAAAGGGGCUCAUAGUCAUUAGACCCUCAGUGAGUGUACAGCUCAUCUGCGGUGAACAGCUGUAUCUGCAGGUGGUCCAAGGCCCUGGUUCCUGGAAGAGGCACAGCCACCCCCAGGGUUUAGGAAAGCGCUUCUUUCUGUGUGACUCAAAAGACAAAUCAGACCAGGAGGACAGACCCCUUUGCAUUUGCAGGGGGAAACACCUGCAAUGCUCUGGAUUACUCCCCUAGGAAUUUUCCAGAUUUAUGACUAGUUUUUACAAAUGCAGUACCUGCUGCUUUGCUAAGAGUCUUAGCAUGCCCACAACUGUCCUCAGGUUUGCCCCACUCAUGAAAAGCAGUGGGCAGUCCAACUGACGGCACCUGGUAUUUCCAGAAGUCACUUCCACUGGACUUUUAAAGAUGCGUAAGCUAAACAAAGACCUACUAAGAAUGAAACCUUCAUUCAUUAACAAUCAGUGAGAAAAUAAUAAUAACCACUCAUGUUGGAGCCUUAGCCCAUGCUGAGAGCUUUAUCUCAUGUAACAAGCCCUGACAGAGGGCUGAUCGAACCCUCCCCUCUGGAAGCGCCUUUGGUUGCUUUAGUUGGCACUUCUGACUUACCAGGAAGAUGUCAGUCUCUCUAGAGCAAGGAACAGGCCACUAUCCUGGAACAGCCCUCAGCACAGUUCCAGGCAACGUGUAGCUGCGUACCCCAUAAACACUCUUAAUUGACGGGGAAUUAAAAGCAACUCCUGAACAAAGGUGUUGAAUUGAAUCGAAUUGAAUCCGAUACAUAAAAUAGUCAGAUUUUCUACCUGUUGACAGUGGUAGAUGUCUCGGAAUGACAGGACUUCCUCAGGAACCACUCACCAGAUCUGCACUUUGCCAGCCAGCUCCUGUGGCAUCGGUCAUUAUCACAGACCUCGAGCUCUGCCAUUUUCCUGCUCUUAGCUUUUCGGUGCCCUGUACCCAUCUUUAGUGAGUGGCUAUUCUGGUAAAUUGCACUUCAAGGUAAAACGUAAUUUCCGUUUUUACAAGGUCAUGAGCAAUCCCGCACUUACCCCUAAAUGAAGAGCAUCUCCACCUGGACAAGGUGCACUUAGCAAAGGCUACAAAAGGAGAGCAUUCGAGAUUUAUGAAAAUGGGGCUAAAAUGCUUUAACAAGACAGCAGAUGGAGUAAAUGGCUCUUUAGCUGAGAAAGCAGGGGGAAAUGGUUCUUUUAUCUUCAUGGUCCAUAAAGGAUCCAGUAGCCCAGGAGGCCGAGUGGUGGAGACAGUGCAGCUACAAUUGGAGAAGCUUCUGUCCACCCCUUGCUGACCCUCAGCAAACACUCAGCUUGAGCAAGAAAUAAACCUGUGCUGUGUUAGACUGAGAUUUGGGGAGUUGUUUGUUACUGUCUCAUGCCCCAGUCCGACUAUUACACUGUCCUUCU
Equus caballus (horse) is the source of this 3047-nucleotide non-coding RNA. The record is from RefSeq and is a predicted model, not a curated record. NCBI's taxonomy places the organism in Eukaryota, Metazoa, Chordata, Mammalia, Perissodactyla, Equidae.